AGGUGGACAGUGCACAGAAUUCACAGUUGGAGGCCAAUUUCUCCAGGAACAUGCUGAAAAGAAAUGCAAGAGUUGUCCUUUCAAAUAUAUUUCAUCUAAUGUUUAUAAAUAUAAAGAAUGCUACCAACUUAAGAAAGGGGAAAAGCAAGCAUCACAUACAGUAAUUGCUACCAAAAAUGUUCAUAAUUCAACACUUACUGCCAGCAAAAGUAUCCAUUAUUCCACAACUCCUAGCAGUGAAGGUAAUGUGAGCUUGGAGGGUGAUAAACCAUUUAUACAAAUAAAGGACGACAGAGAUCUUAGCGAGGAGCCAGUUGAAGAUCAC
Long non-coding RNA from Saccostrea echinata, 325 nucleotides. RefSeq lists it as uncharacterized. NCBI's taxonomy places the organism in Eukaryota, Metazoa, Mollusca, Bivalvia, Ostreida, Ostreidae. The record is from RefSeq and is a predicted model, not a curated record. The transcript is spliced from 3 exons.